RNAcentral lists this long non-coding RNA (247 nucleotides) under Lathyrus oleraceus (garden pea). Its description in RNAcentral is "Pisum sativum (pea) long non-coding RNA (PSAT_LNC017925)". The record is from RNAcentral. Lineage: Eukaryota; Viridiplantae; Streptophyta; Magnoliopsida; Fabales; Fabaceae.
CUUUGUGCUAGGGAUUCCAACUUGAUCCAAAUUGAGGAACCAUUACCAUGAGCUCCUAAGAGAGAGAGAUUCAAGAUACAUGGAGGAAUCUUCCAAGAGUUCAUUUUAAUUGUUGAUUGCUUGAGUUUAUGCUUAUGUGAUUGCUUAUUCCAAAGGAUGGGAGCUACUUGGAUCAUCCAUAUGAUCUCAAGAGAGGAACUCCUUUUUGUGGUUUUGUUUCUUAUCCCUCGCCUUUUGCAUUGCUUAG